GAAAGGGAGAGUAGCGCGUGGAUCACCUACCCUCGGGUCUGGGAUAGCUGCGGGAAACCGCGGGUAAUACCGGAUAAUGUCUCCGGACCAAAGGUGUAAUUCCGCCCGGGGACGGGUCCGCGUCCUAUUAGCUUGUUGGUGGGGUAACGGCCUACCAAGGCGACGAUGGGUACCGGGCGUGAGAGCGUGGCCCGGCUCACUGGGACUGAGACACUGCCCAGACACCUACGGGUGGCUGCAGUCGAGAAUCUUCGGCAAUGGGCGCAAGCCUGACCGAGCGACGCCGCGUGCGGGAUGAAGGCCUUCGGGUUGUAAACCGCUGUCAGAGGGGAGGAAAUGUCAGGGGGUUCACCCCCUGGUUUGACCUAUCCUCAGAGGAAGGACGGGCUAAGUUCGUGCCAGCAGCCGCGGUAAGACGAACCGUCCGAACGUUAUUCGGAAUUACUGGGCUUAAAGGGUGCGUAGGCGGCCCGGUAAGUUGGGUGUGAAAUCCCUCGGCUUAACCGAGGAAUGGCGCUCAAAACUGCCGGGCUUGAGGGAGACAGAGGUGAGCGGAACUUANGGUGGAGCGGUGAAAUGCGUUGAGAUCCUAAGGAACACCAGUGGCGAAAGCGGCUCACUGGGUCUCUUCU
Molecule: ribosomal RNA, 632 nt
Filed under: uncultured bacterium
Lineage: Bacteria
Description: bacterial SSU rRNA
Rfam family: Bacterial small subunit ribosomal RNA
Source: RNAcentral